UUUGUUUAUUUCAAAGUGUGCAAUGUAGAAUUUUUGGGUUAAGUUUGAGGGAUGAAGUGAUAGAUAUGUUUCUGUUUGGCACAGUUAAGUGGUUAAUAUGAGCUAUCGAAGCAAAUAUGGAGUAGGAUAUCUAGUUUUGGGUUUGGUCUUAGUUUGAAGAUGGCCACUGAUUACAGCUAGGUAUGUAUUAGUGUUUGUAGAUUUUUAAAUGCUUUCUGUCAAAUGUGACUAGAUUAUUGCUAGAAGCACAUGGAUCUUACACUUAAAUAAUUAUAUAUCCAUUUGUAAUGUUCAAAAUGAUAAUGCACUAUUGCUUAAAUUAUGCUUUCACGACAUCAUUUUGAAAAUCCAUGGUUGUAAUGUGUCUCUAAAUUCAGCAAUACAAGUUCUAUCAAUUAGUGUUGGAUGCAGUGACUUGAAUAAUUUAAUAUUCAUUUGCAGAAAAAAAAAGUGGAGAAAGAAAACUAAAAAUUUGCGUGCGUUCUGUUGGAAAUUUGAUUAUUUUCAUUUGAGCAUUAAAUACUGACACGAUCUUUUCGACUUCUCUUGCAUUUGAAUGAAUGGAUGAGUGCUAAUGCAUACAAAGACUUCCAUACAUGCACAAUGAAUGCUACAUCAAAGGUAUAGUAAAAUGUCAGCAAGCUUGGCCCAAGUUAUCAAGCUGGUUCGGUAGCUGGUAGAUUUGUUCAUCCGGAUUUUGGACCAUUUUCCUUGAUAAUAAGAAAGCUCCUCCAUCUGUAAAUUGAAGUGCCAAAAGAGAGAUGGAAGUGAAUGACUAGAGAGUUAGUGAUUGUGUGGGAAGCUUUGGGUAUAAUUGGGGUUUGGGUGUGAGAUAAAAUAAUUUGAGAGUGUGGUUGUAAUAAUUUUUCAUAUAGUGAAAUAUUUUAUCUCAUUGUCCUUAGCAACCGUGGUUUUUUAUUUUGGUAAAUGAGUUUUCCAAGAAAAUUGUGUGUUUUGUGAUUGGAGUACUCUCUAUUUUAUUUUAUUUUUAUUAUUUAUUUGACGUAUUGCUAGCAGAGAUCUUGUGUGGGAUCCAAAAAUUCCCAACAAUUACCAAUUGUUUUACUCUAUUCCGAACAGAGCAUGAAGGGAUUCACUUAUCUAAUUAUGUCUUUUAUACUUUAACUUCACUUGAUUUCACGUUGUCCCUCACCUUUAUUAAAGUUGUAUAUGUUGGGGUAUUAGGUUCAUCACAAGGAUCAUAUUAAGUCUAAGGAGCAUAGUUUAUCGGCUGCACUCAAGCGUAGCUGAAUAUUUGGAUUCAAAACUGUUAUAAGGUUGUUACAGAUGCAAGGCUGUUGCUAGGGGUGGGCAUAAACCCACAACCCAUGGGUUUACCCAAACUCAAACCAAAUAAAAUGGUUUGGGUUGGAUAAAUCAUGAAAUAGGUUAAAUUUGGGUUUUUAUGGAAGAAAUCAUUUCACAAUGGUUUGGGUAUAGUUUACUUAUGGGUCAUGAACAAAUUCAAGGUAACAUAUCAAUGAAAAAUAAAUUAAACAAAAUAAAAGGCUAAAUCAAUAUUUUAAUAAUAAUUUUUUAUUAAAAUUAUUAUUAUAUAAUAAUUAUACCACUAGUAAUAAUUAUUAUAUAGCAAUUAUACUACUACUAAUUAUUAUUAUAUAAUAAUAAUAAUAGAAGUGCUGCACAGGACAAAUACAUAUGCAAUUGGAUGUAUAGUACACUAUUAUAUAACAAUUUUUUACGGUCUCAACUUGAGUUAAAAGACUAAAUUAACAUUUUAAUAAAUUACUCAAACAAUAUUUUUAUGAAAUCCUCUAAUAUAAUUUUAUAAUCCUAUUUGUAUUGUAACUUACUAAAAUUAAAAAUGUAAUUGAUUAUAAGAUUUUAUCAAAUAAAAUAUGAUUCUAUUGUUAUUUUUUAAUUAAAUUUAAACCUAAUUAGAUUUCAUGUCUAAUUUUUCUUACUGCAUUUAAAAUUUUGGCAUUUUUUCUAAUUACAAUAAAUUUUAGAUUUAUUUCUCGGAAGAUUCUGCUGUACGGCCAAAAUCUUCUUAGUGAUGGAAGGCUCAGGUCGAGGAGUAUCUGACGGUAGAACUUCUGACUUCUUACCAUUUUCUACUCUGGUCUGCCGAUUCCCACUAGGUCGCUGGGGACGAAGCCUCGGAUUGGCCACGUAACACGUCUCAAUGGUAUGGCCAAGGUGCUUGCAGGAAGCACAGUAGAGUGGGAUUUUCUCAAAAAUUACAUUUUGCCAAAAUCCAGUAGGGUUUGUUUAUUUCAAAGUGUGCAAUGUAGAAUUUUUGGGUUAAGUUUGAGGGAUGAAGUGAUAGAUAUGUUUCUGUUUGGCACAGUUAAGUGGUUAAUAUGAGCUAUCGAAGCAAAUAUGGAGUAGGAUAUCUAGUUUUGGGUUUGGUCUUAGUUUGAAGAUGGCCACUGAUUACAGCUAGGUAUGUAUUAGUGUUUGUAGAUUUUUAAAUGCUUUCUGUCAAAUGUGACUAGAUUAUUGCUAGAAGCACAUGGAUCUUACACUUAAAUAAUUAUAUAUCCAUUUGUAAUGUUCAAAAUGAUAAUGCACUAUUGCUUAAAUUAUGCUUUCACGACAUCAUUUUGAAAAUCCAUGGUUGUAAUGUGUCUCUAAAUUCAGCAAUACAAGUUCUAUCAAUUAGUGUUGGAUGCAGUGACUUGAAUAAUUUAAUAUUCAUUUGCAGAAAAAAAAAGUGGAGAAAGAAAACUAAAAAUUUGCGUGCGUUCUGUUGGAAAUUUGAUUAUUUUCAUUUGAGCAUUAAAUACUGACACGAUCUUUUCGACUUCUCUUGCAUUUGAAUGAAUGGAUGAGUGCUAAUGCAUACAAAGACUUCCAUACAUGCACAAUGAAUGCUACAUCAAAGGUAUAGUAAAAUGUCAGCAAGCUUGGCCCAAGUUAUCAAGCUGGUUCGGUAGCUGGUAGAUUUGUUCAUCCGGAUUUUGGACCAUUUUCCUUGAUAAUAAGAAAGCUCCUCCAUCUGUAAAUUGAAGUGCCAAAAGAGAGAUGGAAGUGAAUGACUAGAGAGUUAGUGAUUGUGUGGGAAGCUUUGGGUAUAAUUGGGGUUUGGGUGUGAGAUAAAAUAAUUUGAGAGUGUGGUUGUAAUAAUUUUUCAUAUAGUGAAAUAUUUUAUCUCAUUGUCCUUAGCAACCGUGGUUUUUUAUUUUGGUAAAUGAGUUUUCCAAGAAAAUUGUGUGUUUUGUGAUUGGAGUACUCUCUAUUUUAUUUUAUUUUUAUUAUUUAUUUGACGUAUUGCUAGCAGAGAUCUUGUGUGGGAUCCAAAAAUUCCCAACAAUUACCAAUUGUUUUACUCUAUUCCGAACAGAGCAUGAAGGGAUUCACUUAUCUAAUUAUGUCUUUUAUACUUUAACUUCACUUGAUUUCACGUUGUCCCUCACCUUUAUUAAAGUUGUAUAUGUUGGGGUAUUAGGUUCAUCACAAGGAUCAUAUUAAGUCUAAGGAGCAUAGUUUAUCGGCUGCACUCAAGCGUAGCUGAAUAUUUGGAUUCAAAACUGUUAUAAGGUUGUUACAGAUGCAAGGCUGUUGCUAGGGGUGGGCAUAAACCCACAACCCAUGGGUUUACCCAAACUCAAACCAAAUAAAAUGGUUUGGGUUGGAUAAAUCAUGAAAUAGGUUAAAUUUGGGUUUUUAUGGAAGAAAUCAUUUCACAAUGGUUUGGGUAUAGUUUACUUAUGGGUCAUGAACAAAUUCAAGGUAACAUAUCAAUGAAAAAUAAAUUAAACAAAAUAAAAGGCUAAAUCAAUAUUUUAAUAAUAAUUUUUUAUUAAAAUUAUUAUUAUAUAAUAAUUAUACCACUAGUAAUAAUUAUUAUAUAGCAAUUAUACUACUACUAAUUAUUAUUAUAUAAUAAUAAUAAUAGAAGUGCUGCACAGGACAAAUACAUAUGCAAUUGGAUGUAUAGUACACUAUUAUAUAACAAUUUUUUACGGUCUCAACUUGAGUUAAAAGACUAAAUUAACAUUUUAAUAAAUUACUCAAACAAUAUUUUUAUGAAAUCCUCUAAUAUAAUUUUAUAAUCCUAUUUGUAUUGUAACUUACUAAAAUUAAAAAUGUAAUUGAUUAUAAGAUUUUAUCAAAUAAAAUAUGAUUCUAUUGUUAUUUUUAAUUAAAUUUAAACCUAAUUAGAUUUCAUGUCUAAUUUUUCUUACUGCAUUUAAAAUUUUGGCGCUUUUUCUAAUUAAAAUAAAUUUUAGAUUUAUUUCUCGGAAGAUUUAAAUUUAUAAAAUUAAAUAAUUUAAUUUUGAUGGAUUGCUUUGAUACUUGAGUUGAGAUAUCUUAUCUUACUUUAAUUUGUAUUGACAUUGUUAGAAUUUAUGUUGUAAUAUGGUUAAUAUUUAAGAACAAAGUUAUUGUAAAAUCCAUUAUUCAUACUUUUUAUCCACUACAUUUUUUCAUAUUUUAAUAUUAAUUUAAUAAUCGAUAAUUAAUAUAAUUUGAUAUAGUUAAAUUUAUUAAAAUAAAAAUAUUUUGAUUAUAAAAUUCAAACCAAACCCAAAUCCAAAUAGGUUGGUUUGGGUUGGAUUAAAAAUAUUUGGGUUAGUUUGGGUUGAGUCCAAAUUUUUAUAAUUUGGUUUGGAUUGACUUAAAACCCAACCCAAAACAACUCAUGCCCACCCCUAGUUGUUGCUAUGUAAUUGUAUGUCAUGCUUGCAAGUGCGUUGUAACAGAUUGCUGAGCUGGCACCAGAUAUUUUAAGCUAAUAUUAGUAAUUAGUCUAGAGUGUUCCGAUUUAUUCUAUAAAUAGCUAGCUUAGAACCUUUAAGGUGUAUCGUAUGUUUUUGUUACACUCUAGAGCUUAGAACCUCGAGAGUGUUCCAAUUUUCUCUAUUCCCUUUUCUUUCACUUUCUCUUCCAUUUUCACGACCCCCAAACACCAUUAAUCCAUGCUUUUCUAGAGUAUUAGCUGUCUAUUUCUACAAACAUAGAAUUGAUGUUUGUUUGUCUUAUUACUUCCAAGAAACAAACUUAACAAAGUACGUUGUCCUGUCACCCAUGGUCUCCUCGUUUAUCGACUUGUGAAUAGGGCUAAAUAAACGGCAAAUAAAAUAUUGGGCCAAUGGGCCUAACAUGACAAGAUCUUGAAUUGAUUGUCUCUUUUUUUCUCCAUAAAUCUUUGCUUAAUUUUUUUUGUUCCCUCAACCUUUUUGGGCCUUUUGCGCUAAAAUUCUCUUCUGAUACAUUAUACAAAAAUAAUGAAGAAAAUGAGUUACUUUAGAACAUCAAUAAAUUUUGACAACAUCUAAAAUAAGACAAUUACACUUAGGGGUUGUUUUUUUUUUUUUUUUUUUUAACUUAAUGACUUAAUUGACUUAAUUUUUUUCAUGUCUAUCCUAAAACUUACCCAUAGACAUUUACCCCACAUAAUAAUCUCAUCAUUAAUUUUACUUAUAAAUUUUAAAAUAUUGUGGUAUUUAAUAUAUUAUUUAUUUGACAUUCAAAUUUAAUAAGGAUACAAAUGUAAAAGUACAUAUUUUCAGUUUUUUAAGUUUAAAAAAACAAACAACUUAAUACUUAUUUUCUGAGAUUCAGACGAAAAAACAAAUAUAUUAUUCAGAUUCAGACAUUCAGAUCUAUUCAGAAUUCAGACUAAUUCAGAUUUAUUCAGAUUUCAGAUAAAAAAACAAACGCCACCUAAGUCUGUUGUUUUGUCAACUUAAUGAUAAUUUUCAGUCAUUAAGUUAUUAAGCUAAUUUUUUUUAAACUUUUUGCUUAACCCAAAAAGCUUAAAUGAUAUCAUUAAAAGAUAUUCUCCAAAAUAUUCCUAUCUAAUUAAUUAAUUUUCAUCUUUACCUAAAUAAAAUUUAAUAACUAGUUAUAUUAGCCAUCUAUAUAUAGUGGUAGACUAUUAUUAUUUUUAUCUUUUUAUGUUCUUCAAAUUAGCAUUAUUUGUCUUCAUAAUUUCGUAUGAAUAUUUUUCAUAUAAAAACAUCACAGACCAUAAUAAAAUUGAUUAACACAUAUAAUAUAAAAUAUUAAAGAAUUGUAUUCAAUUUAAUAUGAUUUAUGUUAUGAUAAUUUAUUAUCUUAUUUAUAUUAUUUGAGAUGUUUAUCAUUUGUUUAACAUUAAAAUUUAUAAGGAAAUAAAUGUAAAAAUAUUAGUUUUCAAUUUUUUUAAGUUAAAAGAAAAGCUUAAUAUUUAUUUUUAAUGAUUCAGACAAAAAAAAAAUCAUUCAGAUUCAGACAAUUGGUUUUAUUCAGAAUUCAGACUAAUUUAGGUCUAUUCAGAUUUCAGAUAAAAAAAAUGUCACCUUAGAUUACUCUUAUUUAGUUGAAUUAUAUGUAAUAAAAUUGGUUUAACAAAAUCUAACUUGUAAAUAUUCCUUACAGCAUGAUAAACGUACUUAAAAAAUCUUAACUAAUCAGUUGUUUACUUUACAAUUCCUUUAUAUAUCUUGGAAACUUUUAGCUUCUUGACAUAUUAUAGUGUUCUCAAUUUGUCUAAAUUAUUUUUCUUCAAACACUAUAGCAACAACCGGUAUAAUACAGAACAAACUCAUUUACUGAAAAAUUUCUGGAUGCUUUCAUGGCAAAAUCUCAUUGAUCUAUUUCUCUUUGCACCUUUGAUUCAAGAUUUUUCUCUAUAACAAUGAUAUUCUCAUAACAGUGAGUACAAAGCUUAGUACAACAAGGACCCUUUUGCAAAUUAUUCAAAAUUUUUAUGCGAUUUUCGAAUUUAUGAUUUUUAUUAAUUUUGAUUUAUUGGAGCAUUUUUCCUUCCAUCUCUUCUACAUCUAUCCUUAAAUUUUUUUCAAAAUUUCGACUAUAUCUUUGUAAAGUUCUAAAUGAUUAUCUCGUUCAUAGAGAUCUAUAUUUAAAUUAAUUCAUGAAUUUAUAAUCAUUUGUCUUCUUUGAGUCAUAGACUAAAUCUUUUCUUCUAAUAUAUCUAUGUAUACUCCUAAGCUAUCUUCCUAGCUUAGAUACAUUUUAUCAAAGCUUUUGCAUAUAAAUUGUAAUUUGAGAUUCUGCAUCUUGAAUUAACAUCUCUAUAUUAUUAUUAUUAUCCAUUGUUUUAUUCUCGAUUUUGAGUUCUAUUGUUAGCCUAGCAUCUGUCUUGGAUUAUUUCGAGCCUAGAUAGAAUUGAUUCUAUUAAUGCUAUCUUGUUUUCUUCUUCAAAUGAAUCAAAUAUUUCUGGAUCAUUAAUUCUUUUCAUUUCUUCAUACAAGGUUUACUUGUAUUUAAUCUAGUUUUAACUAUGGAAAUUGUAUAAGCAACUUGAUAUUCUCGACUAAAGUCUAAAUGAUCAAUUGCAUCUACAAAUUUAUUAACAAAUCUUUCCAUUUUUAUGAAAUUGAGUUACUCUUAUCACUUCCUAUCUUAUAACAUCUCAGAAAAACAAACAAGGCCCAACAUGCUUCCGUUUGUAGCUGAAAUAAAAGAAAAAAAAUUUAAGAUUACUAACCGGUGUACUCUCUCAGAAUUCUGAGAUAGAUUCACUAAUUGCUUCCAACCAUAGAAAGGUCCAUGGUCAGCACCGUCAUAGCUCCACACAUCAUACAAGAUCACUUCAAUGACUAUUCCACAUGGCCCAAUGCAACACACAUCAAACUGGCCUAAUAUGAUAUGUCUAAGUGAUUUCCUUGCAGUUGACUUUGGGAGAGUGCUUAGUAAUAGAAAAUCUUCUUCGUUUAGCACAAGUAUUGGCAUGUAAGAUUCUUGGUUAAUUUCUAAGAAUAUAUAAAAUAUUUGGAAGUUGAUAAUUUCACUCAAAAGAGUUUUAUUUAUUUCAUCAUUGAUAUUGCUUGCAAAGGGUGGUUACAGAGAAUACAGAUAAGGGUGAAGGUUAGACAUGUGAUGU
Molecule: long non-coding RNA, 7798 nt
Filed under: Citrus sinensis (sweet orange)
Lineage: Eukaryota; Viridiplantae; Streptophyta; Magnoliopsida; Sapindales; Rutaceae
Description: long non-coding RNA (CSIN_LNC004839)
Source: RNAcentral